Molecule: long non-coding RNA, 321 nt
Filed under: Calidris pugnax (ruff)
Lineage: Eukaryota; Metazoa; Chordata; Aves; Charadriiformes; Scolopacidae
Description: lncRNA (ENSCPUG00000005564.1)
Source: RNAcentral
CUUUCAGCAGUUGGAUACGUACCUGGACUGUUUUAACCCUGUUCUUACAACUCGUCUAAGGGGCUUCCAAAAUGAACGCUGCAGAUUGAUUAUUCAAGUCAGAAGAGUCCUGCCUAGGAAGGACUAUCUGGGCUGGCUGGCUUGGUUCUUCCAGAGCCACAAGCUCUUCAAAGCAUCUGCUGCCCAGAGCCUGGCUUCCUGCACUGUCCUGAAGCCUUCAUGAGGUGUCUGAAGGUAUUUAUUAAUGUGUUGGAUAAAGUCCAAGAGUUACUAAAAUAUGAGAGUAAAAAGAAAGGCCUCACAAAUUUAUGCUCUAAAUAA